This 571-nucleotide ribosomal RNA is filed under the name uncultured Actinomycetes bacterium. RNAcentral describes it as "bacterial SSU rRNA". It matches the Rfam family "Bacterial small subunit ribosomal RNA", at positions 223 to 801 of the family's 1533-position model. Lineage: Bacteria; Bacillati; Actinomycetota; Actinomycetes. The record is from RNAcentral.
GGAUGAGCCCGCGGCCUAUCAGCUUGUUGGUGAGGUAAUGGCUCACCAAGGCGACGACGGGUAGCCGGCCUGAGAGGGCGACCGGCCACACUGGGACUGAGACACGGCCCAGACUCCUACGGGAGGCAGCAGUGGGGAAUAUUGCACAAUGGGCGAAAGCCUGAUGCAGCGACGCCGCGUGAGGGAUGACGGCCUUCGGGUUGUAAACCUCUUUCAGCAGGGAAGAAGCGAAAGUGACGGUACCUGCAGAAGAAGCGCCGGCUAACUACGUGCCAGCAGCCGCGGUAAUACGUAGGGCGCAAGCGUUGUCCGGAAUUAUUGGGCGUAAAGAGCUCGUAGGCGGUCUGUCGCGUCGGAUGUGAAAGCCCGGGGCUUAACCCCGGGUCUGCAUUCGAUACGGGCAGACUAGAGUGUGGUAAGGGAGAUCGGAAUUCCUGGUGUAGCGGUGAAAUGCGCAGAUAUCAGGAGGAACACCCGGUGGGCGAAAGGCGGAUCUCUGGGGCAUACUGACGCUGAAGAACCAAAGCGUGGGGGAGCGAACAGGAUUAAAUAACCCUGGGUAGUCCCCGCC